Molecule: long non-coding RNA, 397 nt
Filed under: Polistes fuscatus (common paper wasp)
Lineage: Eukaryota; Metazoa; Arthropoda; Insecta; Hymenoptera; Vespidae
Description: uncharacterized LOC122521633, transcript variant X2
Source: RNAcentral
UUUAAUUAUCUCAAUUUUCCUCAAUAUAUAUUUUUCUAAAAAAAUUAAUAUUUUAUUCAUGUAUAAAACUUUCAUUCCUCAAGAUUAUAAAGAAAAAGAAGGAGUCAAUGCACAAGGAUAACUUUACCUAGGAAGGAAAAGGUCCAUGUUCAAGAAAAGAUACCAGUUCAUUUCUAGACGUCAUAUUUAAAUCGCUUUACGAGUCCGGAGAAUAUUCGGAGGCAGAUAUUCGUGAUGAAAUAAAUACAAUGGUUUUUGCAGGAAGUGAUACUGCCGCUAAUUCGCUAACAUUUUUAUUUUUAAUGUUAGCCACGUUUCCGGACAUUCAAGUACGCUCAGAAUCAAGUAUACGAAGAGCUGUACGAUUUGUACGGCUUAAGCGAUCCAAAUGAGGUUC